RNAcentral lists this unclassified non-coding RNA (324 nucleotides) under Hevea brasiliensis (rubber tree). Lineage: Eukaryota; Viridiplantae; Streptophyta; Magnoliopsida; Malpighiales; Euphorbiaceae. The record is from RNAcentral.
GAAAGAGUGAAAAUAGCAUCACCCCGGAAUCGACGAAAGAAUUUGUAGAGCUGUCGUUGAUGGCGAGGGCGUUGCAUUUGAGCAGUAAAAGCGUGGAAUCUUGAGGAACCAGAAAGUGUAAAGGUAGUUUAUCUUGUUUUUGUGGGUAAAACGCGAGUUUCUGACAAGGGAGCAAAGCAGAAGGAAAGAGAGUUCGUAUGGGGGGAAAUAAACAAGAAGGAGAAGGUGAAAGACGAAAAGAUUUGGUGGGCGUCGACAUAGUAGCAAAGGAAGCAACACUGCAGCCAGUUGCUUAGCGAUAAGGUAGAUGACGAUAGUUAAGCU